This 1146-nucleotide long non-coding RNA is filed under the name Pan troglodytes (chimpanzee). Its description in RNAcentral is "lncRNA (ENSPTRG00000054647.1)". Lineage: Eukaryota; Metazoa; Chordata; Mammalia; Primates; Hominidae. The record is from RNAcentral.
GCUUUAGCAUAGAGCAGAGUCUGCUCCUUAAUGCAUCCCUGGAUCAUAGCGGACUCUGCCUAUAGAGGCCUGGGGUCCCUUUGGCAGCACUUUUGUCAAGAAAGUAGAGUCGUGGACAACCAACUGCACAGGUUGGGAGGAAAACUUACAGCCUCCAUCACUCUUCAGGAGAGUGGCAGUCAAGGAGUAAGACUCAAGCAAAGGAAUAAUCUGAGUUUAAAGAAAGGAGGAGUCAGUGCUGGGAUUUCUUGGUUCUAGUGGAAAGUAGUUUUUUAAAAUUUAAUUGACAAAAGUUAUAUAUAUUCAGGUACAUGAUGUGAUGAUUUGAUAUACAUGUACAUGUAUAAUGAUAGCCACAACCAUUAAUUAAUGUAACCAUCACCACCUAUAGUUACCCUUUUCUAUGCGUGUGUGUGUGUGUAUACGUGCAUGCAGUGAGGACACUUAAAAUCUACUCUUACAAAUUUCAAGUAAACAAGGCAGUAUUAUUUACUGUAGUUCCCAGAUUGUAUAUUAGAUUUCCAGAACUUAUUCAUCUUUUUUUUUUUUUUUUGAGACAGAGUCUCACUCUGUCAUCUAGGCUGGAGUGCAGUGGUGCAAGCUCGGCUCACUGCAACCUCCAUCUCUGGGGUUCAAGCAAUUCUCCUGCACAGGCAUGUGCCACCACGCCCGGCUAAUUUUUUUGUAUUUUUAGUAGAGACUGGGUCUCACCGUGUUAGCCAGGAUGGUCUCCAUCUUCUGACCUCGUGAUCCACCCGUCUUGGCCUCCCAAAGUGCUGGGAUUACAGGCAUGAGCCACUGCGCCCAGCCAGAACUUAUUCAUCUUAUAACAAACUUUGUACCCUUUGACCAACAUCUCUCCAUUUCCCCUAUCCCUGAGCCCCUGACAACCACCAUUCUACUCUCUGCUUCUCUGAGUUCAACUUUUUUAGAUUCCACACAUAAGUGAUAUCAUAUAGUAUUUCCAUAUAUAAAUGAGACCAUAUAGCAUUUUUUUCUGUGACUUUUUUAUCCCAAUUACCAUAAAUGUCCCCAAGUUUCAUCCACGUUGUUGCAAAUGACAGGAUUUUCUUCCUUUUUAUGGUCCAGUAAUAUUCUACAGUUUCUUCAUCCAUUUAUAAAUUCAUGAACAUUUAGUUUGAUUCC